Molecule: ribosomal RNA, 400 nt
Filed under: uncultured bacterium
Lineage: Bacteria
Description: bacterial SSU rRNA
Rfam family: Bacterial small subunit ribosomal RNA
Source: RNAcentral
UAGGGAAUAUUGGACAAUGGGCGCAAGCCUGAUCCAGCCAUGCCGCGUGGAGGAAGGAGGCCCUCUGGGUUGUAAACUCCUUUUGUCGGGGAAUAAACCGCCGCUAUACGCGGCGCUGAAGGUACCCGAAGAAUAAGCACCGGCUAACUCCGUGCCAGCAGCCGCGGUAAUACGGAGGGUGCAAGCGUUGUCCGGAUUCAUUGGGUUUAAAGGGUGCGUAGGCGGCUCAGUAAGUCAGCGGUGAAAUCCCAGGGCUCAACCCUGGAAUUGCCGUUGAUACUGUUGGGCUUGAGUCCGACCGAGGUCGUUGGAACGCGCAGUGUAGCGGUGAAAUGCUUAGAUAUUGCGCAGAACACCGAUUGCGAAGGCAGAUGGCUAGGUCACGACUGACGCUGAGGCA